RNAcentral lists this unclassified non-coding RNA (1105 nucleotides) under Hevea brasiliensis (rubber tree). Lineage: Eukaryota; Viridiplantae; Streptophyta; Magnoliopsida; Malpighiales; Euphorbiaceae. The record is from RNAcentral.
AUCUUCCUAUCGAUUCUUCAACUACUCCUUCAGCUCGCUCUUCAGUCACUUCUCUUUACAGAGAAAAAAUGGCGACAUCUCUCUCCUCUACAAGAACACUCACUCUCUCUUCUCCUUCCACUUGCUUUACACAUUCAGCCACCAAGCAAUUCCUCGUCGAAUUCCCUCCCCGGACCAACUUCUCCGCCCUCACCCAUCGCUCUACACACCUCCGUCCCAUCUCUGCCGUUUCUACUCCUGAGAAAAUUGAAAAAUUGGGUACUGAAAUCUCCUCCUUGACUCUUGAGGAAGCCCGCAGCCUCGUUGACUACCUCCAGGAUAAGCUAGGAGUGUCUGCUGCUGCCUUUGCCCCCGCAGCAGCCGUCGUUGCUACCCCCGGAGCUGGUGGAGAUGCUGGACCAGCAGCAGUGGAGGAGAAAACGGAGUUCGAUGUUGUGAUUCAGGAAGUGCCGGCUAAUUCCAGAAUAGCGGUGAUUAAAGCGGUUAGGUCAUUGACGAGCUUGGCUUUGAAAGAAGCUAAGGAACUGAUUGAGGGUUUGCCUAAGAAGUUUAAAGAGAGUGUUUCGAAGGAAGAGGCGGAGGACGCUAAGAAGCAACUGGAAGAGGCUGGAGCGAAGGUUAACAUUGUUUGAAACAAGAAUGGGGAUUUGAAGGGAUGGAUUUAGUGGGUAAUUGUGUGUCUUUUUGUUUUGGGUAAUUUGAAAAUGUAUUUGAAUUCAUAAAAUUGCUAAAUUGAAUGUUGAUUUUCAGUGUUUUAGGAGUGUACAUGUGGGUUUCUAAAUUACCAUUAAAUUCCUUCCCAACAUUGCAAGAUGAGAAUCCAUUUGUAGGAUAGAUGCUGCAAAAAUGAAAAAUUGGAAUAGAAUUAAUUGUGAUUUGCUUCUCUAGUAAUAUGUUUGCCUGUAGAAGUAAAACCCAACACUUUUUGCAGCUCUUCUUCCAUUGUUUCUGAUCAGAAGCAUGAAUGGUAGCUUAUGUUUUCUAAACAGCUCAACUCUGCUGUUAAUUCUUCAUUCAAUAUCUUGAUCUCCAUGCCCUUCAAAUCUAGGUCUAACACAUGCUGCAAUUGUUAAUUCUAGGUCUAACACAUGCUGCAAUUGUUAAU